AGCUCCAAUAGCGUAUAUUAAAGUUGUUGCGGUUAAAAAGCUCGUAGUUGGAUUUCUGUCAGGAAUGACCGGUCCGCCCUCUGGGUGAGUAUCUGGUUCAGUCUUGGCAUCUUCUUGGAGAACGCAACUGCACUUCACUGUGUGGUGCGGUAGCCAGGACUUUUACUUUGAGGAAAUUAGAGUGUUUCAAGCAGGCACGCGCCUUGAAUACAUUAGCAUGGAAUAAUAAGACAGGACUUCGGUUCUAUUUUGUUGGUUUCUAGAGCUGAGGUAAUGAUUAAUAGGGAUAGUUGGGGGCAUUCGUAUUUAACUGUCAGAGGUGAAAUUCUUGGAUUUGUUAAAGACGGACGACUGCGAAAGCAUUUGCCAAGGAUGUUUUCAUUGAUCAAGAACGAAAGUA
Molecule: ribosomal RNA, 400 nt
Filed under: phytoplankton environmental sample
Lineage: Eukaryota
Description: partial small subunit ribosomal RNA
Rfam family: Eukaryotic small subunit ribosomal RNA
Source: RNAcentral